UACAGAGGGUGCAAGCGUUGUUCGGAAUUAUUGGGCGUAAAGAGCUCGUAGGCGGUCUGUCGCGUCUGCUGUGAAAACUCAGGGCUUAACCCUGAGCUUGCAGUGGGUACGGGCAGACUAGAGUGCGGUAGGGGAGACUGGAAUUCCUGGUGUAGCGGUGAAAUGCGCAGAUAUCAGGAGGAACACCCGUAGCGAAGGCGGCACUCUGGGCCGAUACUGACACUGAGGAGCGAAAGCGUGGGGAGCGAACAGG
RNAcentral lists this ribosomal RNA (253 nucleotides) under uncultured bacterium. RNAcentral describes it as "partial 16S ribosomal RNA". It matches the Rfam family "Bacterial small subunit ribosomal RNA", at positions 524 to 776 of the family's 1533-position model. The record is from RNAcentral.